ACUUUAUGAUCAGUUUCCGUACAUUGAUUGCUGGAAGCAAAUUUUUGGGAAAACAGCCUAAUGCAUCAAGUUAUGCCACAAGGAACAAUGCAGCCUCAUGGUUGCCAGAACUUGUUUGUCCACUAAGGCCUCAACUCCACCUAGUUUGGACACCCCUCCCCCCGAAUCUGAUCUUCCUUUACCAACUCCCUACUCUUCCUCCCGAGCUAGAACUGAUGUAGCUGGUGUUUCCACUUCCCCUGCCCCAUUGUCUCCACCUACCCACUCACCCAUCUCAGAUACCAGGUCAUCUGUCUUGGGCACAAC
Pelobates cultripes (western spadefoot toad) is the source of this 306-nucleotide non-coding RNA. NCBI's taxonomy places the organism in Eukaryota, Metazoa, Chordata, Amphibia, Anura, Pelobatidae. The record is from the annotation of a GenBank genome assembly.